GAUGAAGAACGCAGUGAAAUGCGAUAAGUAAUGCGAAUUGCAGAAUCCGUGAGUCAUCGAAUCUUUGAACGCACAUUGCGCCCUCUGGUAUUCCGGAGGGCAUGCCUGUUCGAGCGUCAUUAUCACCCCUCAAGCCCGGCUUGUUGUUGGAUGCAGCGCUUAUCCCGCUCCUCCCAAAGAUAAUGACGGCGUCUGCGACGACUCCUGUACACUGAGCUUUCGGGCACGUACACGGCUAGAAGUCCAGACCCGGUCGCCGCCCCCCCCGCGGGGACACCCAUUACCACAAGGUUGACCUCGGAUCAGGUAGGAAUACCCGCUGAACUUAAGCAUAUCAAUAAGCGGAGGA
Molecule: unclassified non-coding RNA, 349 nt
Filed under: soil metagenome
Description: partial contains 5.8S ribosomal RNA, internal transcribed spacer 2, and large subunit ribosomal RNA
Rfam family: 5.8S ribosomal RNA (bases 1-119)
Source: RNAcentral